This 508-nucleotide ribosomal RNA is filed under the name uncultured bacterium. RNAcentral's name for it is "bacterial SSU rRNA". It matches the Rfam family "Bacterial small subunit ribosomal RNA", at positions 28 to 531 of the family's 1533-position model. The record is from RNAcentral.
GAUGAACGCUGGCGGCGUGCCUAACACAUGCAAGUCGAGCGUGAAGUUCCGGAACGAUACUUCGGUAAAAGGGAAGGAGCUGAAAGCGGCGGACGGGUGAGUAACGCGUAGGUAACCUGCCCCAUACACAGGGAUAGCCUAGGGAAACCUGGAUUAAUACCUGAUGACGCGAAGGAGUCACAUGGCUUCUUCGCCAAAGAUUUAUCGGUAUGGGAUGGACCUGCGUCUGAUUAGCUAGUUGGUGGGGUAACGGCUCACCAAGGCAACGAUCAGUAGCCGACCUGAGAGGGUAAUCGGCCACAUUGGAACUGAGACACGGUCCAAACUCCUACGGGAGGCAGCAGUGGGGAAUAUUGCACAAUGGGCGCAAGCCUGAUGCAGCAACGCCGCGUGAGCGAAGAAGGUCUUCGGAUCGUAAAGCUCUGUCCUUGGGGAAGAAACAAAUGACGGUACCCAGGGAGGAAGCCCCGGCUAACUACGUGCCAGCAGCCGGGUAAUCUAGUCUACG